AAGGAAGAUGGUCACCACGGCAGAUUUUCUACAGGCGGCUGCCGCGUGUGACAUGGAAGCACAGGAGGUUCCACUGUGUUUCCUGGGGAAGCCCAUGGUGCAAGAGGGAGACUUCUCUCUCUUGAUGACCUGGGGGGGGAGCUUGUGUGAAAGAGGGUAUUAGACUGAGAAUCGAUGUAUUAGAGGGGAUUUGAAUGUUAGAGAGCUGGGGGAAGGAGGAGUGUUUUGGGAGUGUUUCAUUGUGGAUUGUUGUGUGUGGUUUUUUUUUUUUUUUUUUCUUUUUCCCUUAUGUUUGUGUGUUGUAGAUUAUUAAAGUGUUGUGUUUUCCCUCCAUCCCCAAUUGGGAGCCUGCUUUGUUCUGUUUCCGGGUCACAUCUCACAGCAACCAUUUUGGAAAUAUACCCUUCAUGGGGGCCCUGGCAUUGUGCCAAGGUCAACCCAUGACACUUAUCUUACUCCUUUUCAAUUCAUGUAGGCGCUAGGAUGUUCAUAUGACAGAGAAUGCUCCUUUAGAUUCAAUAAGUAGGGGAUAUUUUGAUGAAUAUGCUGAUUCUUUAUCUCCUCAGGGCUGUUGUUGGUCACCUUAUCUUCCCUUCUUUCUCUCCUCUCCUCUCCCAACUGUGUUUAUCAUUCUCCUUGAUUUUCUCCUUUCUGGCUUUGUUUCUCACUACUUAUCUCUUGGUUGUCUCUCCCUUUCUCUUGCCUUCCCUGCUUUUUGAUGAGUCUCUCUGCUCUGGCUUUCCUACAACCCACUCCCCCCCUCCUUGCUGCUCCCUCUUCAUUUGCAAGCUCUGCAGACUGCUCCUCUGCACUCCUUUGCCAAGGAGCACAGUGAUGGACUGGCAUGCUGUUUCCUGCUUGGAAUGAGACCUUCAUGUUUAUGGAAAUAAUUGCUGUGUGGAUGGCUUUGCUUUGACUACAAAGCUGCUUCAGUAUGAGAUGUGCAUGGACUUGCUUCUGCAUCUUCCUGUUCUACCAGAUCUCAGAGACCCAAAGAAGACACCUAAAUGAGGAGCCAUUGCUUUCCAUUGCAGUCUGGUAGAAAUACCAACAGUAACAAAGCAUCUACAUGCUGGGUGAACUGUUUGAAUUUUCUACUGACCUUUCACAAAGGCAGGAGGAGGCUGCACUGCUGCAUCCAUGCUGACAGCUUCAGCACGGCUUUUACAUCUGCUGUCAUCUUGCAAACUACUUUUCAUGACUCUUCAAAAAAAGAAACCCUAAUGACAUGCCUUAUUCAAAACCAAAUUCUCCUGGUGUGGUUCACAACUGGUUUACUGAGCUUGUAUAAAACCUUAUGCAUGUGGAAUGCAUAGUAGAAGAAGAAAAGGGAGAUGGAAAAGGAAAUGCUUCACUAGUUUAUUCCUCCCCAGUCUUUUAAUUUCAGAAUGAGAGCACUAUUUAAAUGCCAGAUCUGAUCAACUACAGAGCCACAGAGGUGAAAAGAGAUAAGUUAAUCUGCAAAUCAUUUUUUUCUAAGGAAAACUUGGCAACAUACAUUAUUGUUACUUGUUCUGUGCUCAGGUUUCUAGUUAGGCUGAGGCUCUGUCUUUUCACAGAUAAAAUUUAUAUUGGCACAGUACAGCAAAAAUCUCUCAGCCACUUCAGCAAAGACAUAUAAGAUAAGGUUGUUUGCCAUCCUCAUCAUGAGCAGGUUCUGCUCUGGUACUUAGCAACAUUUUCACACACAGUGAUUUUUCAAGCUUGAAAAAUGCUCUUUUUAUGUAUUUUUGUGCAGAGUGUUUUUUUAGUAGAAGUCUCUACGUUUUUAAGAGAGUAAACUGUAACAAUCAGAGCUUUACCAGCUCUGUAAUUUGAAGUAACAAGCAUUUAGCAAUAGCAGUGAUUCAUGUAGCUUUGACACAGAAAAGAAAAUAACUGGAACUCAAGAAAUAUGGAUAAUACCAAGCACCGUGCAAUGUUAAAUAGAAAUAUUUGAGCUAGCAAAGGCACCAGGAAACUGAAUCAUAACUCUGUUAGUGUGGUACAUUUCCUAACCUAAUACCUCCUGAUGACAAGCACAAAUGAAACAGCCCAGAGAGAUUUAUGGGCCUGCAAAUUUACUUUAGUUCAGGUAUAGAAUAUAUAUAUGGUUAUGGGAAGUGCAGUUUUGAUUGAACUUUUUAUCAAAUUCAGGCUACAGUAGGAGUUUUCUGCUUGCAUACAGGCUGUUAUGUUGACUCCCUUCUAACUUAAUUUUACCUUGCCAUUUGUAAGUGUCCCUACCUGCAGUCUUUCCCUUCUCUAUCACUCAGUCUCAUCAUAGCCCCAGGCUGUUUGUCCCAUUUCUGCAAUUUUUAAUAAAAGUGAAAAUCUCCUUGUCUGAACAAUUCUUUUCUCCCCAUUUAAACAACCAGGACCGCCUCCUGAGCCCACAGCCAUGCAGUAACAUUUUGAGCACUUCCCUUUUAGCAACACUGAAUCUCAAGUGCUCAGGCUUUUUGCCAGAUUUUGUUUUAAUCCAGCUGCUCACCUAUGGUUCUACUACACCCAGAUCCCUUUUCCUUGCCCCUCAACGUGCCUCAGUGUCAGGGCAUGUCUACCUGCUCUGUUACAUUUUUCCUUUGGGACACUCAUUCCCAAUGUGACUCUUCUUAUCCAGAUGCCAAAUGAGCUUGCAGGUUUUUUUUUCCCCCACAGUAGACUUUAAUUUCCUUCUUCUGUAUUAUCUCUUCCACUUUUACCCUCAACCUCUUGCCUUGACAAACACACUAUUUCAAUCCUCACUUUCAGUCCCACUUUUCCCACAGCCUGCAAUACAAGUUUCCACAAUCUUCAACCUUGCAUCUCAUCCCAUGCCCCACACCCUGUUUCCAUGUGCCAUUCCAUGGUCACCCCUACCUUCCAAUACUAUUUUAACCUCUUGGUUUAUGAACAAAUUAGAGUAUUUUUCCAGAUUUCUUGGGCCCAGCAAGAAAGUUGCUACCAAGCACACAGGAGAGAAAAGACCUCUAAGAUCCUAAACCUAGACUUGGCACGAUAAGAUCACAACUAUGAUUUGAUGCAUAGUUUUGUUCAACACAUGAUAGAUCUGCUACAGCUGGGAUUUUGGGAGGCUUUAUCCUGAAAUAUAUAUGAAGAGGAUAUCUCUGGAACACAAGCUAACUGUGGCAUUUCAAAGGCCAAAGCUGAGCAGCUUUUUGGAGAAAAGGCACUUGCCUGCCAAAACACACAAAUGCACACUUGCACGAUGGGUCUUCUAACAGAAAAAAAAAAACAGGCUGAAUUUUUUAACAUGAGCAAAAGAAAUAUAUUUUUCCAUUCCAUUACUGUUAACAAAUAAUUUACAUGUUGAUUUAAAAAUAAAUAAAUUUGUUGAGCAGAAACAGGCUUUCAGCUUGGAAAAUUUGAGUUAAAACAGCUCUAUCAAGGAAGACGUUUAAGACUUAAUAAUUUUAAAAGUUUUAUAGGAAGCAUAAGGCAUACUGAUUGCUAACUGACAAUAAUAACCCAAAAUCAACUACUUUUCUGAAUUUUUGAAAUUAUCAUCUCUCUCUCUAAAGGUAUACAACAAUCUGAUAACAAAGUGUGAAAGGCACACUUAAGUUCAAGGCUUUUAGAAAUGACUGAGAGGCACAGGUUGAAGCAGAAAGUAACAUUUUCCUUGUAUGAGUAUUGAUGAAGUAGAUAAACCACAUACAGAGUUUAAUCUGGAAGUCUAGAGAUGUUCAAAUUACUUUGAAGACAAAAAUGAAAAAUAGAAAACAAAAUACCGUUCCAAUGCCUGUUCAUUGAUUUAAGCAUUUUAGGUGCCAGUAGGAAUAAUAACAAUGAAAACCAUCUGCUGAUCUCUGCAGCUAAUUCUUUAUCUAUGCUUGAAAGACAUGUGCAGAGAUGGGAAGCUGUGUAGACAAAACAAGUUGUAUAUGGCAGUUGUUUGCAGGGUUCUACUCACAGGAAUCCAGUUGCCAUGUAGUUAAGAGCUUUCCCAGGACUGGAGAUCAGAUUCUUGUGCAAUGACUGUCAUCAAGGUAAUGACACAUUUCUUGUGGUUUAAUUCAUAAACCAGUAGUUAAAAAUAAGAUUCUGAAAAGUAUAAGGGUUUAAAAAAGGACAUUGAAAUAAUGAUUUAAUAUAUACUGACCUAAAAGUAAAUUGAUGAAUAAACAGAAAAUUGAUAGAGGAUAUACCAGAUUUUUUUUUCCUCCUGUGAAAAAUUCCAUAAAUCCCUGACAUCAGCUGGCAUCUUUUUAUUGUGUGCCCUGCCUCAAUCCAAACCAGGCUCUUGCAAGCUCAUAGCAGUUCUGAUUUCUAAAUAUUUGUCACAAAGCAUUCAGAAUAUUUAGGAAUGGUCUAUUUGUGCUCACAUGAAAAUAUAUUUGACCGUAGCGUGGGGAGAAGGGUGCUCUACAAACCAAAGGGAAAUAAAAACUGAGGAUGAUUUUGUGUGGGUGGCAGAGGUAAGCCUUACACCACUCCCACAUAGAUAUUCACAGGUUGAAUAGACACUGCUGAAUAGGUUAACAGCUCCUAUUCACCACCACUAAUCACAAAGUGGCAUUGUGCAUUAAUAAAUGUAAUUCAGUCACACAAGACCACAGGCUUGACACAGAACUGGCACUGGAGGCACUCAGGACUUCUCUGAGCUUGAGACAGUUUUAGCAAUAGUCAAGGGACUAGUGCCUGAUUUUAGCUUUUGGGAAGGCAGCUUUCUGUGUGGUAAAGAUCCAACAGACCUAGAUAGCCACUGUGUGAUGCACAACAGCCCUUCAUGUUCACAGGAGCUGCUGAAGGAUUUGGGGGGAUGCUUAGUGAGUAAAAUUUGGUCUUGUUAACAAAACAUGUAAAAACAGCCACAGCUGGACCCCAAGAUCAAGGAGGAAUGUAUCCUUACCACCACUGUAGUUCUCCUCCUGAAGAGUGCAGGAUGUCCAGGACUCACAGAAUCAUGGAAUGGCUUAGGUUGGAAGGGAUCCUAAAGAUCACCUAAUUCCACCCCUCCACUAAGGGCAGGGAUACCAUGCACUAGGUCAUGGACCUUCUGCCUCCAAGCACACCGCUCUGCUUGAGGACAGCUGAGCUAUUUGCUGUAAGGUCCAUAGGGACACUGCAAGAGUGAGCAUAGCUCCAGGAAAAAGGGUAAAUGUUACUAAGCUGUCUUUUAAAAUAAUUUUAAGGGCAUUACUGGGGAGGUUUUUCCAUAUAACCUCAGACUAUAAUGGCCAAUAGUACUGGA
Molecule: long non-coding RNA, 5176 nt
Organism: Passer domesticus (house sparrow)
Lineage: Eukaryota; Metazoa; Chordata; Aves; Passeriformes; Passeridae
Exons: 3
Source: RefSeq, a predicted model, not a curated record